GCCGCGUGAGUGAGGAAGGUUUUCGGAUUGUAAAGCUCUGUCGAGCGGAAAGAAGUGCAUGGUGGUUAAUAUCCAUCAUGCUUGACGGUACCGCUAAAGGAAGCACCGGCUAACUCCGUGCCAGCAGCCGCGGUAAUACGGGGGGUGCAAGCGUUGUUCGGAAUCAUUGGGCGUAAAGCGCGUGUAGGCGGCUGGACAAGUCAGAUGUGAAAGCCCUGGGCUUAACCCAGGAAGUGCAUUUGAAACUGUUCAGCUAGAGUAAGGGAGAGGAAAGUGGAAUUCCUGGUGUAGAGGUGAAAUUCGUAGAUAUCAGGAGGAACACCGGUGGCGAAGGCGACUUUCUGGCCCUAUACUGACGCUGAGACGCGAAAGCGUGGGUAGCAAACAGGAUUAGAUACCCUGGUAGUCCACGCUGUAAACGAUGUUCACUAGGUGUUGGGGGUAUUGACCCUUCCAGUGCCGCAGCUAACGCAUUAAGUGAACCGCCUGGGGAGUACGGUCGCAAGAUUAAACUCAAAGGAAUU
RNAcentral lists this ribosomal RNA (524 nucleotides) under uncultured bacterium. RNAcentral describes it as "bacterial SSU rRNA". It matches the Rfam family "Bacterial small subunit ribosomal RNA", at positions 396 to 911 of the family's 1533-position model. The record is from RNAcentral.